This 384-nucleotide long non-coding RNA is filed under the name Capsella rubella. Its description in RNAcentral is "long non-coding RNA (CRUB_LNC002555)". Lineage: Eukaryota; Viridiplantae; Streptophyta; Magnoliopsida; Brassicales; Brassicaceae. The record is from RNAcentral.
CGAAAGUGAAAUCAGAUUGUGUUUUUUACAAACGCAUGAAAAGGUUGGUGGAUAUUUGAAAUACUUGUUCAUUACUUUUUGUUCAUUACUUUCGGCUCGUGUAUUGUUGACUACUAAGUUUUAACCCGCGGUACACCGCGUGACGAUUGUUUUGACGAAAAAAUAUAUAUAUUUAAGUUAUAUUUGUUAAUUUUAUCAUCUUUUUAGUGUUUAAAAUUGUGUAACUGUAUUUUUGAUUGUUAUUUUUUUUUUUUUUGUAUUGUUAAACGGUAAGAUAACCCAUAAGAAAAUAUAAAACUCAAACCCGUUAAAUCAUAUUUAUGUAAAAUAUAAACCUUGAAUGUUUCAUAGAUUUCGAGAAAGAUUUUGGUUUUUGGAUUCCCU